UGCUGAUCAGGGAGAUGGGGAGAAACCAAACAGUGAACAUUCUGCAAAGAGGAGGGUCAUUGGAGAUGGAAAUAUCCCUGAUGCUUCCAAGAGAAGCCACAUAUGGACAGCCAGACCCUGACUGACCCAUCCUGGCAAGUGGCACCAGUGGUAGAGGAAAGCUAAAGGAGCCAGGAGGCUUCACACAUGCUCCAAAGAGUGAUCUCUGAAUAAUCUCAGCUGACUCUUAGAAGUAGAUAAGAACAAGGUCAGUUUUGACCAACUUGGUCGUAAACACCUGGCAGGAGAGUAUAGCCUAAAAGCACAGUCCUUCAUGGAUGUUUAAAAGGAAAACAAUUUUUUUUUAAAUUUUACUUAAGUUAUAUACUUCCAUCAGCCCUACCAAAAGUCAGUAAAGCUGGAGGUUAUAAGGAAGGGUUUUUAUGUGAGAGUUAAUAAUAGUAAUGAUCACAAGAGUUCCAAAUUUGUCCUGAUUUAUUUUGAAUCUGAUUUCAUAGACCUACAAAUCUUCCAAACCUCUUACAUUGAUGAACUUGAUCUGUUUUUCACUAAUAAGAUUAAGUUACUGUCCUCAUGGUUUUCAGAGACUGGCUGAAAUGUUUUUAUGCUAAUUGUUUACAAAAAGUAAUGCUUUUCUGUCUUUAUUGUUGUCUUAGCAUGAUCUCUGCCCUACAUUUACCUUGUCCAGUCACCUGCCAUCUAUCACUGUGGAUCUCUGGACUGCUCUGAUGCUGAAUGCCCUUAACUGUCCACACCCCACCUGAUAGAGAACAAGGACUUUGGGUUACUUCCCCCAACUUUGCCCCCUUUCAGCAGGAAGUAGCUUGGAUAUGUCAUUGCCUACUUCCCAUACAAAUGGAAGUUAGAAAUUGACAGUGGGGAAUUGUAACAAGGAUUCAUUUGAUGCUUUGACUAUAUCCCAUUGUGGGGUGACCAGCUCCCUGCCAGGGUAGGUUCCUGCUCAGGAGGUGUAAGCUGCCUGGGAAGUAAAAUGUCUGAAAUAAUUAGUAAGAAAUAGAGACAGAGCCAGAAAAGAAGUAAUCCAGAUUUGGGGGAUGGCACCAGAAGAUCUCAGAAAUGACUAUCUCCUAAAUUAACAAGUGAAUUACAACUCCAACAGAGAACAUGUGGAAUGUAGCCUUUGAAUCACCUCUUUAAAAGUCCCCUAUUCCUGCUGAUGGGCAGAUCAUAGCCUUUGGGACAAGAGUCCUUUUAUCAAAACUGUGUCUUUGUUAUUGGAUUGGCAUCAGAGACAAGGACCAAGCUUUCAGCAACAUGCAGAAUGUCUAAUUUAUGCUCUGAGAACUAGCCAACCUGGAUGUCAUGUACAUAUAUUACGUCAUUGGUGUUUUGAUAGGAAUUGCAUUGAAUAUAUAAAUUGUUUUGGGAAGAAUGGAUAUUUUGACAAUAUUUUUU
This 1416-nucleotide long non-coding RNA is filed under the name Marmota monax (woodchuck). Lineage: Eukaryota; Metazoa; Chordata; Mammalia; Rodentia; Sciuridae. The record is from RNAcentral.